Molecule: ribosomal RNA, 253 nt
Filed under: uncultured bacterium
Lineage: Bacteria
Description: partial 16S ribosomal RNA
Rfam family: Bacterial small subunit ribosomal RNA
Source: RNAcentral
GACGUAGGGCGCGAGCGUUGUCCGGAUUUAUUGGGCGUAAAGAGCUCGUAGGCGGCUUGUCGCGUCGACUGUGAAAACCCACGGCUUAACUGUGGGCUUGCAGUCGAUACGGGCAGGCUAGAGUUCGGUAGGGGAGACUGGAAUUCCUGGUGUAGCGGUGAAAUGCGCAGAUAUCAGGAGGAACACCGGUGGCGAAGGCGGGUCUCUGGGCCGAUACUGACGCUGAGGCACGAAAGCGUGGGGAGCAAACAGG